GUUGGGUUAAGUCCCGUAACGAGCGCAACCCUUGUCCUUAGUUACCAGCACGUUAUGGUGGGCACUCUAAGGAGACUGCCGGUGACAAACCGGGAGGAAGGUGGGGAUGACGUCAAGUCAUCAUGGCCCUUACGGCCUGGGCUACACACGUGCUACAAUGGUCGGUACAAAGGGUUGCCAAGCCGCGAGGUGGAGCUAAUCCCAUAAAACCGAUCGUAGUCCGGAUCGCAGUCUGCAACUCGACUGCGUGAAGUCGGAAUCGCUAGUAAUCGUGAAUCAGAAUGUCACGGUGAAUACGUUCCCGGGCCUU
This 310-nucleotide ribosomal RNA is filed under the name uncultured Pseudomonas sp. Its description in RNAcentral is "bacterial SSU rRNA". It matches the Rfam family "Bacterial small subunit ribosomal RNA", at positions 1074 to 1382 of the family's 1533-position model. Lineage: Bacteria; Pseudomonadati; Pseudomonadota; Gammaproteobacteria; Pseudomonadales; Pseudomonadaceae. The record is from RNAcentral.